RNAcentral lists this long non-coding RNA (380 nucleotides) under Carica papaya (papaya). RNAcentral describes it as "long non-coding RNA (CPAP_LNC010978)". The record is from RNAcentral. Lineage: Eukaryota; Viridiplantae; Streptophyta; Magnoliopsida; Brassicales; Caricaceae.
UUCUAUCUCUCUAAGUUUUCUAAAAAGUUGAAGAAGGGAGAAGAAAUGAAAGUGCAAAAGAAAUGAGGAGAAAUGAGCUCUUUAGAUAGGCUUGGGAGGAGCUCUGGAUGUUAGCAACGUGGCAACCAUCCACCGGGACACAUAGCGGGUAGGUGGAAAGCAAGCUGCCGGUGGACGGGACAAGUUCGCAUGGCUUGGGUGUCUGCGCUAUGACAACGUGUAGUACAUGCGUGCAUAGCGUGCAGGUAUAGGCAUGGCAUGCAUGCCAGCGCGUGUAAUGCAUGGGCGUGCAUGCAUAGUGCUGUGCCCAUGCGUUGGCGUGUUGGCAUGUGAGCAUAGUGCCACGUGCAGGCAAUUGUCACACGUAAGGCCUGUGUGAU